AGAUGUUAAAAGCAAGAGACAUGGGAGAGCAUCAUUCCUUUGAGAUUUUAUAAAUCAAACCAAGUUUGGAGUUGUCUUGUCUGAUUUGGAGAGUCAUCAUUCUUGGUCUUCGCUCUUAGAGGCCACUGAUGAAGAGCAGGCGGUGACUGGGAUGAAUGCUGGUCAGAGAGGAGAAUCUUCUUUCCCCUAAACAGCACUGGUUUUAAAGGAGGACGCUGCCCUGGAUGAUGUAGAAGAUGUCACAUGCUGUGCUGAUGGGGCUUCUUCAUGACUACAUCAGUUAUGCUAAAGAGAUCAUGAAAAUUGACCGUGAUGCAUGAUCUGUAUUAAUGGACUAUGAAACAAACUGUAAGUGUAUAAUUUGUUAAAAAAAAAAAAGUUAAAUGCUUUUUCUGUGUUGUUUAGUAGAAGAGUUUACACUCUGUCAUUCAUACACCUGCUCACAUUCUUUCACACACACACACACACGCGUCUGUUAAAUGUUAUAAUAUCAAAGUUAAUGUUGUGAUUUAUUUGUGUACUGUCAUGCCAGAAUAGUUGGAAAAAAACCUAACUAAUUGUAAAUUUAUUGUAGGUGUUUUCGUAUAUUUUUGUACAAUAUAUACAAUUGAACAAAGUCCAAUUUGAUCUUAAGUUAUAUUCAUCAAAUGUUCAAUGCUUUAUGAACUCUGUAGCUGUUAAUGCCAUCCUUUUCUGCAUUUCUUCUAACAUGUUACUUUUUGACUUUUCUCUUGUUUUUAAUAAAUAUUUUCCUUUUGAUAAUUAUUAUUUGUGUGUUAAAGUGAUAUUUAAAAUGAACAACAUUUGUAGGUUUAAUGCCUAGCUCAAUUUGGGUUAAUUUUAACGUAGAAAUGCAUUGUUUCCCCACAUGGCUACACUGCGAGUUUAUUUUCUGCCAGCAGGAGGCGCUAAGAGCGGGAGAGGUAGGUUUCUCCGGUAACGGCUGCAGAGCGGUGCUGCUGAGCUCACAAACGCUGCCUUAUCAAGCACAUGCGAAAUGAUAUCGAACAUUUUCUGAAUACAGUAGUUUUCCUUCUGAAAUACAGUGAUAAAAAACACCCGCUCUGGUUUUUGAAACCCUGCAAUAUAGUCAUUUUAAACCAUAAAAAAUGGCAACCCAGCAGGCUGGGUUAAAUAUGAUAACCCAACUGGUUGGGUUAAAAUAACCCAGCGCUGGGUUCGUCCCUUUUUGACCCAGCGCUGGGUUGUCAAAAUAACCCAAAUUGGGUUGUUUUCAACCCAGCAGUUUUUAGAGUGUAUACACUCCUAUUCCUAACUUCUUUUUUUUACUAAAUGUACAUUUUAUAAUCCUAUUAUUUGAGAAAAGUUGUGUGUGAUACUAUUAGGAUUAGUUCCAAAUUAUGAUUCCAUAGCAUUGCUUUAUUGCGAUUUCUUAAUAAAGCAAAUGUUUAAUUGCAAGUUUAUUAUAUGAAGCAAGCAGAGUUUGUUUGUGAAGUCUCAGAGAACACAACAACACAUUCCAAUGUGUUUUAGGGUUUGUUUCACACUCACAUGAACAUCAUAUGAUCACAGCAUCUCACAGUCAGAUCAGAGACACCAGCGGAUGAUUAAAUCAUUAAGAACAGAGUCAAAGACAAACAUACUGGGUAGAAAUGUAUGUGAUACCCAUAAACUCACAUCUAAUGCAUGCAUUUUCAAUGUUUCAUUUAUUUAUUUUUUAUUAAUGCUAUCAUUUUCAGUAACAAUGCAGAGUGAGUUUUGAGUUCCUCUGAUGAGGUGCGAUGGGAAGGUCAUAGGUCAAAGUGAAGCUUAAUGUGUUUCUGAGUCUGUGUCACUGUGUCAUUAAACUCUUUAUCCAGUGAUUAAUCAUCAUCAUCCUCCUCCUCAGUUCUGCCACCAGCAAGUUUCGGAACAGGCAAAAACAGGUCCGUUAUUGACUCACUGCUACUUAAUAUUGACUCAUGGGGAGGUUUGAAUCUCCUUGGGUAAUAACAAUGCACUGUUGAGUGCUGUGUGAUAUUUUAAUCUUAAGCACAGACACUCAAAAUGUAUUAUCUUAACAUGCAAUUUGUUUAUUAAACAAACUAUUCCAUGAUAAACCGUUUAAAAUAUUAAAUAUAUAUUACUAAUAUUAUGUAUAAUAUUACAUUUCUGUAUACAUAUAUGUAUGAUAUAAUAUUGAAUAUUUCUGUGUUUAUGUGCAUUUGUAUAUAUACAUAAAUAUUUGUAUAAAAUUUUUUAAUGUA
Molecule: long non-coding RNA, 2207 nt
Organism: Carassius gibelio (silver crucian carp)
Lineage: Eukaryota; Metazoa; Chordata; Actinopteri; Cypriniformes; Cyprinidae
Exons: 3
Source: RefSeq, a predicted model, not a curated record